RNAcentral lists this ribosomal RNA (125 nucleotides) under Catasetum sp. SRR-2011. RNAcentral describes it as "partial 18S ribosomal RNA". It matches the Rfam family "Eukaryotic small subunit ribosomal RNA", at positions 1710 to 1831 of the family's 1831-position model. The record is from RNAcentral. Lineage: Eukaryota; Viridiplantae; Streptophyta; Magnoliopsida; Asparagales; Orchidaceae.
UUCGAUCGNUCGACGCGGGCGGNUNGCCGCCCGCGNCUCGGCGAGAAGUCCUUUGAACCUUAUCCUUUAGAGGAAGGAGAAGUCGUAACAAGGUUUCCGUAGGUGAACCUGCGGAAGGAUCAUUG